Molecule: transfer RNA, 64 nt
Filed under: Schmidtea mediterranea
Lineage: Eukaryota; Metazoa; Platyhelminthes; Tricladida; Dugesiidae
Description: tRNA-Lys
Source: RNAcentral
GAAUCUUUUGUUUAAGUGUUGGAUUCUUAAUCCAUUUUUAGGAACUUAUUGUUUCCCAGUUUUA